UACAGAGGGGGCAAGCGUUGUUCGGAAUUACUGGGCGUAAAGGGCGCGUAGGCGGCCUUCUAAGUCAAACGUGAAAUCCCUCGGCUCAACCGGGGAACUGCGUCUGAUACUGGAAGGCUUGAAUCCGGGAGAGGAAUGCGGAAUUCCAGGUGUAGCGGUGAAAUGCGUAGAUAUCUGGAGGAACACCGGUGGCGAAGGCGGCAUUCUGGACCGGCAUUGACGCUGAGGCGCGAAAGCCAGGGGAGCAAACGGG
Molecule: ribosomal RNA, 253 nt
Filed under: uncultured bacterium
Lineage: Bacteria
Description: partial 16S ribosomal RNA
Rfam family: Bacterial small subunit ribosomal RNA
Source: RNAcentral